Long non-coding RNA from Anneissia japonica, 607 nucleotides. RefSeq lists it as uncharacterized. The transcript has 3 exons. The record is from RefSeq and is a predicted model, not a curated record. NCBI's taxonomy places the organism in Eukaryota, Metazoa, Echinodermata, Crinoidea, Comatulida, Comatulidae.
UUUUAAAUUUUUUUUUUUUAGAAAGGAGAACUUGAUUCAGCUCUGCAUUAUUCAUUGGUGCAUAAUCAAGUGGAUUUCGUGAAGCUGUUUCUCGAGCGUGGCGUCAGUUUAAAGGACUUUUUAACCGUUCGAGAGUUGACUCUUCUUUACAAUGAGGUGAAAGAGAAAACUCUGAUUUACGAGUACUUGGACAAAGAGAGAGGAGGAAAGACCUCAAGAAAGUUUAAUCUGUGGGAUGUUGGGAAGUUAAUUGAAGAGAUGACGAUGGACUCAUACGAGCCACUUUACCUUCGGGAUCAACCACGUUACGUGUUGACAGAGGCCGAGAUUGUUUCGGGAAAGAAAAUGAGAGACGUCAUAGCAGAGAACGAGAGUGAGACUGGAGCUUUUGAGUCGAUGGGGCAACAUGCUUUAUCCAUGGGUAUAGCACAGGCUACCAAUGUUUUGGUACCAAAUAGUAAGUUAGGAUUUUUUUUGCUCAAUAUAUUUUUUAAUGUAUGCAUGUAUGUAAUUUUCAACUGGUACUGUGGGAUUUAACAGUAAUAAUCAUUGAAAAAUUAUAAUAUAUCUACGUGGUGUACUGCAAGCAUUAAAUAUAUUACUACUU